AUUGCAAGUCGAGCGGACAGAAGGGAGCUUGCUCCCGGAUGUUAGCGGCGGACGGGUGAGUAACACGUGGGUAACCUGCCUGUAAGACUGGGAUAACUCCGGGAAACCGGAGCUAAUACCGGAUAGUUCCUUGAACCGCAUGGUUCAAGGAUGAAAGACGGUUUCGGCUGUCACUUACAGAUGGACCCGCGGCGCAUUAGCUAGUUGGUGAGGUAACGGCUCACCAAGGCGACGAUGCGUAGCCGACCUGAGAGGGUGAUCGGCCACACUGGGACUGAGACACGGCCCAGACUCCUACGGGAGGCAGCAGUAGGGAAUCUUCCGCAAUGGACGAAAGUCUGACGGAGCAACGCCGCGUGAGUGAUGAAGGUUUUCGGAUCGUAAAGCUCUGUUGUUAGGGAAGAACAAGUGCAAGAGUAACUGCUUGCACCUUGACGGUACCUAACCAGAAAGCCACGGCUAACUACGUGCCAGCAGCCGCGGUAAUACGUAGGUGGCAAGCGUUGUCCGGAAUUAUUGGGCGUAAAGGGCUCGCAGGCGGUUUCUUAAGUCUGAUGUGAAAGCCCCCGGCUCAACCGGGGAGGGUCAUUGGAAACUGGGAAACUUGAGUGCAGAAGAGGAGAGUGGAAUUCCACGUGUAGCGGUGAAAUGCGUAGAGAUGUGGAGGAACACCAGUGGCGAAGGCGACUCUCUGGUCUGUAACUGACGCUGAAGAGCGAAAGCGUGGGGAG
This 731-nucleotide ribosomal RNA is filed under the name Bacillus altitudinis. RNAcentral's name for it is "bacterial SSU rRNA". It matches the Rfam family "Bacterial small subunit ribosomal RNA", at positions 54 to 768 of the family's 1533-position model. The record is from RNAcentral. Lineage: Bacteria; Bacillati; Bacillota; Bacilli; Caryophanales; Bacillaceae.